CGACNGCGACCCCAGGUCAGG
This 21-nucleotide ribosomal RNA is filed under the name Lagotis brachystachya. RNAcentral describes it as "partial 26S ribosomal RNA". Lineage: Eukaryota; Viridiplantae; Streptophyta; Magnoliopsida; Lamiales; Plantaginaceae. The record is from RNAcentral.